UCGCUGCCGAGCAUGGUAGCCACGACGC
This 28-nucleotide small RNA is filed under the name Bombyx mori (domestic silkworm). Its description in RNAcentral is "ovarian small RNA-28849". The record is from RNAcentral. Lineage: Eukaryota; Metazoa; Arthropoda; Insecta; Lepidoptera; Bombycidae.